UGCAAGCGCGUGCGAUUAUCCGUCAUGGCGCCUUCUGUGCGUCAACGUAAUCAGCUAAUUGGGAAAAGAGAACAGAAAAAGUUAAGUGGUAGAAAACCGUCAGGACUGGGGAGGACUGAAGAAGUUUCUUCAGUUCCGAAUCCAGCAGACAUAGGAAUUGUUUAUCCAAGUGGCGAUACAGCCUUCAAAGCGUUGUUGUCAGCACGAUUUUGUGCAGCAAUAUGGAAUUACAUUUCUGACUGUGAUGAAACAUUUAAUUAUUGGGAACCAAGUCAUUAUUUGCUGUUUGGUAAGGGAUUUCAGACAUGGGAAUAUAGCCCAGAAUAUGCUCUUCGCUCAUAUACAUAUCUGUUGAUUCAUGUGGUCCCUGCAUGGCUAUACCAUCAACUUCUCCAGCCAAACAGGCUUCUUAUUUUCUACUUUUCACGUUGUCUACUUGGUCUGCUCUGUGCUUUAUGUGAAGUCUAUUUCUACAAGAGUAUCUGUCGUGAGUUUGGAGUUCAAGUUGGUCGUUUAGCUUUGGCAUUUCUUGUAUCUAGUGCUGGGAUGUUCAUAUCAAGUACAGCUUUCCUGCCUUCAUCAUUUUCCAUGUAUAUGUGCCUGGUAUCCCUUGGAGCAUGGUAUAAUAGAAAAUAUGAACUUGCCAUAUUUACCACUGCACUCUCAACAUUUCUGAGCUGGCCUUUUGCUGUGUUGAUAGGAGUUCCCAUAGCAGUUGACAUGCUUUUCCAGAGAAGGGAAAUUAUCAAAUUCCUCCAGUGGAGUGUAAUAUCUGUAGUAGUUAUUCUUUUACCCAUGGUAAAAUUAGACUCCUCAUACUUUGGUCGUUUGGUGGUGGCUCCAUUCAACAUAGUGUAUUACAAUGUAUUCACGUCUCAUGGACCAGAUUUGUAUGGCACUGAACCGUUCCAUUUCUACUUCAUUAAUGUGUUUCUUAAUUUCAACUUGGUCUUUGUUGCUGCUUUAUUAACACCUGUCAUGUUGAUGAUGGUUGCAUGGCUGGUGCCUUCAAAACCACGUAAUCCUGCCUGUUUUCCAUAUUGGUUAUCUCUCAUGCCACUUUAUCUGUGGGGUGCUGUAUUCUUCGUUCAGCCUCACAAGGAGGAACGGUUCCUGUUCCCAGUGUACCCCCUGAUCUGCUUGUGUGGUUCUAUCACAGUAGAUGCCAUUCAGAAACUUUGGUUCUGCUUCUGUGUGCGAGAUGUUGAAAGAGGAACUCAUUAUGUAACUCAUACUGCUCCAAUUAUGGUUUUGGCGAUUCUCACCUGUUCUUUUCUGAGUGUUGCAAGGAUACUUGCUAUCUACAAUGGGUACCAUGCCCCUUUGGAUCUGUUUAUGGAGCUCAACAAUUUAACUACAGAGAGGAAACUGCCAUCAGACCAAAGCAUUAAUGUAUGCAUUGGCAAGGAAUGGUACCGUUUUCCAUCAAGUUUCUUUCUGCCUGAUAAUCGAUGGCAGUUGCAGUUUUUGAAAUCUGAGUUUCGUGGACAGUUACCACAACCAUACAGUUCUCUGCCAAAUGCAACAUCAAUUAUACCUCCACACAUGAACAGUGGAAACAGGGAAGAGACCAGCAGAUAUUUUGACAUAGAGCGCUGCCAUUUUCUGGUGGACCUGGAUUUAGGUGUCACUACAGAGUUUGAACCUAACUAUGCCCAACAGACUGACAGAUGGGCUGUAAUUAAGUCUAUUCCAUUCUUAGAUGCUGCAAGGUCUCACACAUUUUUCCGAGCUUUUUACAUUCCUGGCAUUUCAAGCAAGUUCUGCAGCUAUGCCCCUUAUAAUCUUCUUCAGUCAACCAAGUUUAAGUGGGGCAAGAAGGAACCUUUGCCAACAAGAUAGGUGAGGUUAACUCAUUGGCAGCAUAUUUUCCAGUCACCAGAAGUUGUGUGGGGUCAUGCAGAUCUGAAUUAUACGUGAGAAAAUUAUGUGAGAGAAACUGAAUGGUAAUUUCGGAUGGCAAAAGAGCACAUUUAACAUCCAGUUGUGUGCAGCAUUCAUGUUUAUACCUGUCUGUUGAGCAUGGCUCAGUAACAUAACUAAAUAUUUUUUUGGAACUUGUAUUGUUAACAAGUAUUUAUAUUUUGUACAAAAACCAACCAAAACCAUUUCCAUGUAAGUAUUUGUGUUAUAUUGUGAUCAAGAAAGUGUUACUUCUAUGAACUGAAAUUAUUUUUUGUGAUAGUCACAAAAGUUGCUGUUUAAUUCAACAGGGUUUGUAAAGAACAAUGAGUGCUGCUCUUGUUUUAGAAAUCUGCAAAAGAAUUUAGGAUGUAAUAGGCCUUUCAUCACAAUUUAUGUUACUUUGUUUGAAUGUUUCAUGUCUUAUAUUUAGAUCUCAGCAUUUAUAUACAACAAACAGUAAAAUGCAACAUGUAAAUACAAUAUUACACACCAAUAGAUGAUAAAAACAAAAAGGGUUUAUAAACUGUAAUGGGCCAGAUUUACUAGAUGUUACAAAAUCUUAAUUCUGGUCAUGUUAUUAAUUAAAGGAUAGUUCUUUCAGAUUAGAUCCCAAAGAAUAUAAAAUACAGAUUCUAUGUACCAUAUAUUGGUAAUGAAAAUUAAUAUUUUAAUUGUUAUCCAUAAAUAAAUAUAAAGAUACAGUUAGACAGGACAUCACCCUGGAUUGAUGUGGAUGCUUUAAAACAGAAAGUGGUGGUCAAUUGGUCACCAAAGAUCAUAGCAAUAAAAUUUAUAAUUUACAUAUGUUUUCAGGCACCAUGAGAAACCAGAAGUGCACAGUUAAAAAAAACUUCAGUUUCCAUGGUAAUGGAAUAUCUGAUGUCUUUAUCUUUCAUCUUCUGCUCUGGACCUUCAUUUGUCAAAUGAAUGAUUUGUACAUCAUAAUGGCCUUGGGAAAACUACAGCAAGUUGAACAUGAAGAUAGAACAUUAAAUACCAAUUAUUAAAACUAA
Molecule: non-coding RNA, 2918 nt
Organism: Zootermopsis nevadensis
Lineage: Eukaryota; Metazoa; Arthropoda; Insecta; Blattodea; Termopsidae
Source: RefSeq, a predicted model, not a curated record